AGUGGCAGACGGGUGAGUAAUGUAUAGGAAUCUACCUAGUAGUACGGAAUAAUUGUUGGAAACGGCAACUAAUACCGUAUACGCCCUACGGGGGAAAAAUUUAUUGCUAUUAGAUGAGCCUAUAUUAGAUUAGUUAGUUGGUGAGGUAAAGGCUUACCAAGACAAUGAUCUAUAGCUGAUCUGAGAGGAUGAUCAGCCACACUGGAACUGAGAUACGGUCCAGACUCCUACGGGAGGCAGCAGUGGGGAAUAUUGGACAAUGGGCGAAAGCCUGAUCCAGCCAUGCCGCAUGAGUGAAGAAGGCCUUCGGGUUGUAAAGCUCUUUUAGUGAGGAAGAUAAUGACGGUACUCACAGAAGAAGUCCUGGCUAACUCCGUGCCAGCAGCCGCGGUAAUACGGAGAGGGCUAGCGUUAUUCGGAAUCAUUGGGCGUAAAGGGCGCGUAGGCGGGUUAGUAAGUUAAAAGUGAAAUCCCAAGGCUCAACCUUGGAACUGCUUUUAAAACUGCUAGUCUAGAGAUUGAAAGAGGAUAGAGGAAUUCCUAGUGUAGAGAUGAAAUUCGUAAAUAUUAGGAGGAACACCAGUGGCGAAGGCGUCUAUCUGGUUCAAAUCUGACGCUGAGGC
Molecule: ribosomal RNA, 623 nt
Filed under: uncultured Wolbachia sp.
Lineage: Bacteria; Pseudomonadati; Pseudomonadota; Alphaproteobacteria; Rickettsiales; Anaplasmataceae
Description: bacterial SSU rRNA
Rfam family: Bacterial small subunit ribosomal RNA
Source: RNAcentral